This 449-nucleotide ribosomal RNA is filed under the name uncultured bacterium. RNAcentral's name for it is "bacterial SSU rRNA". It matches the Rfam family "Bacterial small subunit ribosomal RNA", at positions 354 to 796 of the family's 1533-position model. The record is from RNAcentral.
GUCGAGAGGCUUCGGCAAUGGGGGAAACCCUGACCGAGCGACGCCGCGUGCGGGAUGAAGGCUUUCGGGUUGUAAACCGCUGUCAGGAGGGAAGAAUCCCCCAGGGCUAACAUCCCUGGGGUUGACGGUACCUCCAAAGGAAGCUCCGGCUAACUCCGUGCCAGCAGCCGCGGUAAUACGGGGGGAGCUAACGUUGUUCGGAUUCACUGGGCGUAAAGGGCGUGUAGGCGGUCUGGUAAGUCAGGGGUGAAAUCCCGCGGCUCAACCGUGGAGUUGCCUUUGAAACUGCCGGACUUGAGGCCGUGAGAGGAGACUGGAAUUCCCAGUGUAGCGGUGAAAUGCAUAGAUAUUGGGAAGAACACCAGUGGCGAAGGCGAGUCUCUGGCACGGUUCUGACGCUGAGGCGCGAAAGCUAGGGGAGCAAACGGGAUUAGAAACCCGAGUAGUCC